CCGGGAAAUCAGAUCUGCUGGCUUCUCAGAAAAUGUCCAGGAUGAACAUCCCAGCACUGAAGCCAGAUGUUCACAGCUGGGCAGCACUCCCCACUCCCACCCCCCCCCCCCCCAACCAACCCAGGCCUAUCCCUUCCCAGCGCUUCCAACAGGGACUUCAGGCCCCAGGGGAAGGGGCCGAGCUAGGGAUUUUCAAAGCCCUGUCAGUCAGACCCAAGCAGGAAAGGGAGCCAAGGCUCCCCUCGGGUCCCAAUGCCCCCCAGGUCACCCUGGAGCGGGGGUGUGUGAGAAAGCUCCCUGCGGGGCAGCCUCCCAGCCAGCCCUGCCCCGGGGGACCCUCUGCCGCCACCCUUCCUCCCCCAGAGGACCAAUGUGAGAUCCAGUUGGGGAAGCUGGCUGCCAUGUUGUAGGCUGCCCUGUGGAGAGGCCCAUGUGGCAGAGGGAGACUCUGGCCAACCAUCAGAGAAGAACUGAGCCUCUUGGCCCGAUAGCCCAUGAGAAACUGAAUCCUGUCAACAACCAAGUAAGUGAGCCUGGAAGUAGACGCUGCCCCAGUAGACACCACAGCCUUGGCCGACGCCUGGACUGUGGCCGGUGAGAGACUCUGAGCCAGAAGAUUCAGCCAAGCUGCACCUGGAUUCUCAACCCACAGAAAAAGUGAGACACAAUUGCUACUUGUGCAUCUUGCUCCCGGCCCAGAGCCUUGCCCCAUGCAGAUGUUCAGUAAUGGGGAAAGGAACGAAGAGGCAGCCAGAGGGACAAUGCCAUAGCUCAGAAAAGCCACAGGUUGGCAGGGGUGUUGCUUAGGAGUGAGGAGGCAGGCCUACCCCAAUCCCAGGUGGUCCAGAGGCUACCAUCCCCUCUUAGCAGGAACUGAGGCUCUGUUCUCCCACCUCUUCAGGAGGAUGCUGGUCAGAGCCCAGGAUCUGGUAUCUUGCGGUCUGGGACCUAACAAAUUUAGUUUCCUGUUCCUGUUCCAGAUCAUACCUUCUGGAUUUCUUCUGCCCUCCGGACUUCAGGCCUAUUUCUCUUUAUUUGGUAUGCCUCAGUAGAAUGAUCUGAUUUUUAUACCCAUGUCAGACUUCUCACAAAAAUAAUUUAAUAGAUAAGAAAAGAAUCCUUUUUCAGCUCACGUGGCUCACUUUUUGUUUGGAAAACAGUCCCUGUGCCCAUAAAAAGGAAAGGGUCGCCAAGCCCAGUCUCCUCCCAGCCCUGUUCCCACCAGGUCACAGGCAGAGUGCGGGGCUGGGAGGCUGGGGAACCUUCCAGGAAAAACAUCAGGCCUGAGUUGGAACCCAGUUGUCCAAUCUGGGUCUGGCGAGGGACUGGCCCUGUGCCCACCUAGACUGGCCCAUUUCCUCCUAGACUAGGGCAAGUUUCCUGCCCAGAGGGAACAAGCACAUUCCCAGGCAGAGGGAGGCUGGGUCCUGUACUGGGGGAGGGGCAUCCACAGGCACUUCCCCACCUCAGCUACUGAGUCUGCAAUGUGCCUCCUGGGAGCAGGAUGGAGAGCAGGGGAUCAGAAGUUGGGCUCAAGCUUCUGAGUUCAAGGAAUGAGCUGGAACCACUGUCCAGCCUUGGGGCCAGUCGGUCCCUGGAUCUCCGGUGCACCCAGGACAGGGAGUAGAAUCCUAGGCUGGACUCUGUCUGCUCCAAAGCAGUAGCCUUUGGGUGACCAAAGGCCUCAUGGUGGCCUUUGCUGAAAAGUUCCAUCAGAACCUGGAAUCCUCCAAGAAACUUCUCCAGGUCCCGCCUCCUCCCAGGUGCUUCCCCUGCCU
Cervus elaphus (red deer) is the source of this 1778-nucleotide long non-coding RNA. RefSeq lists it as uncharacterized. The record is from RefSeq and is a predicted model, not a curated record. Lineage: Eukaryota; Metazoa; Chordata; Mammalia; Artiodactyla; Cervidae. The transcript has 3 exons.